UAAUCUUCAAGAGAUACGUCUCCUUGGUCGAUCUUUUCUCAUGAUUCAUUUCGGGACACAUAAACAAGUAAAUUGCUUCACAUAAGAUAGCUACGAUAAAGAGCACUGCUUGCAUAAUCAUCUGAAGGAGAAUAUAAGUAGCAGGUACGUCGGUAGGACGCAGCAGAACGUCGCCGAACUUCAAUGAGUUGUUGAUAUUGUAACAUUCGUGAUCCGUUUGUGAUUUUCGAUUAAGAAAAUAACGUGUCGAUUCCGCUGAUCGAACGCUGAUCGAACGCUUCAUUGAACAUAACGACAUUGAAAAUGGUGAAGUUUUCCAUGAAAGUGCUACUCGCGCCGGCGUUGUUAAUCUUGAUCGUUUUAUCACCAGCGAUUUGUGAAGACGCGGAAGAUGGAGACUAUGAAGACUACGAUGAUCCAUGGGGUGGUGCAUGGAACAGUACAGAUUCUGGUUUACCGAAUAUAACUCAUACUGAUGGUCAUAUCAUAAAUUUUCCAGAUCUAUCACAAUGCCCAGAAAAUCAACGGCUAGAUAAAAAUGGAAAAUGUCGAAUAGUAGAAUAAUUUUAUUCGCUAAGGUGUAAAACUCGCUAAGCGUAAAUCGUUAAGCUAUUCAAGGAUAAUCGAGAAGAAUGACGGCAAACGAGCAAAAUGGGACGAAUAUUGAUAGUGUCCAAUAAUGCAACGAUAGCAAUUUUAUUAUUAUUAGAUUAUAAUUUUCUGUGUCUAUGUGAGAAACGUUUUAAACUGUCAAACUCGCAAUUAUGUAUAGCAAUGUUUGGCGAAUUGCAGUGAAAUACAUCGAUUCAAAGUCGCGUGAGAA
Long non-coding RNA from Harpegnathos saltator (Jerdon's jumping ant), 823 nucleotides. RefSeq lists it as uncharacterized. The record is from RefSeq and is a predicted model, not a curated record. NCBI's taxonomy places the organism in Eukaryota, Metazoa, Arthropoda, Insecta, Hymenoptera, Formicidae. The transcript is spliced from 2 exons.